GACGAACGCUGGCGGCGUGCUUAACACAUGCAAGUCGAACGGUGAAGGGACCGGUUUUUGCUGGUUCUGGAUGAGUGGCGCACGGGUGAGUAACACGUGAGUAACCUGCCCCCUUCUUCUGGAUAACCGCAUGAAAGUGUGGCCAAUACGGGAUAUUCUGCGCCUGCUGCAUGGUGGGUGUGGGAAAGAUAUUGUUUCGGUGGGGGAUGGGCUCGCGGCCUAUCAGCUUGUUGGUGGGGUGAUGGCCUACCAAGGCGGUGACGGGUAGCCGGCCUGAGAGGGUGGACGGUCACACUGGGACUGAGACACGGCCCAGACUCCUACGGGAGGCAGCAGUGGGGAAUAUUGCACAAUGGGCGCAAGCCUGAUGCAGCGACGCCGCGUGAGGGAUGGAGGCCUUCGGGUUGUAAACCUCUUUCGCCAGUGAAGCAGGCCUGUCCCUUUUGUGGGUGGGUUGACGGUAGCUGGAGAAGAAGCGCCGGCUAACUACGUG
RNAcentral lists this ribosomal RNA (493 nucleotides) under uncultured bacterium. Its description in RNAcentral is "partial 16S ribosomal RNA". It matches the Rfam family "Bacterial small subunit ribosomal RNA", at positions 28 to 507 of the family's 1533-position model. The record is from RNAcentral.